This 160-nucleotide ribosomal RNA is filed under the name Acinetobacter baumannii. RNAcentral describes it as "partial 16S ribosomal RNA". It matches the Rfam family "Bacterial small subunit ribosomal RNA", at positions 1382 to 1533 of the family's 1533-position model. The record is from RNAcentral. Lineage: Bacteria; Pseudomonadati; Pseudomonadota; Gammaproteobacteria; Moraxellales; Moraxellaceae.
UGUACACACCGCCCGUCACACUAUGGGAGCUGGCCAUGCCCGAAGUCGUUACCUUAACCGCAAGGAGGGGGGUGCCGAAGGCAGGGCUAGUGACUGGAGUGAAGUCGUAACAAGGUAGCCGUACUGGAAGGUGCGGCUGGAUCACCUCCUUUUCAGGGAG